UCCGGUUUAACACCGGCAGUCCCCCUAGAGUGCCCUUGCGGUUGCAACUAAGGGUAAGGGUUUCGCUCGUUAUGGGACUUAACCCGACAUCUCACGACACGAGCUGACGACAGCCAUGCAGCACCUGUACCAGCUUCCGGGUUGGGUACCGUUCGUUCCCGUUUCCGGGUCCUACCUGCUGGCUCUUUCGAACAUGUCAAGUCCAGGAUAAGGUUCUUCGCGUAGCCUCGAAUUAAGCCACAUGCUCCACCGCUUGUGUGAGCCCCCGUCAAUUUCUUUGAGUUUCAGCCUUGCGACCAUACUCCCCAGGCGGGGUACUUAGCACUUUAGCUUCGGCAGUAAACCCAUGUCUAGUCUACUACCUAGUACCCAUCGUUUAGGGCUAGGACUAC
Molecule: unclassified non-coding RNA, 392 nt
Filed under: uncultured Planctomycetia bacterium
Lineage: Bacteria; Pseudomonadati; Planctomycetota; Planctomycetia
Description: contains 16S-23S intergenic spacer region
Source: RNAcentral